RNAcentral lists this ribosomal RNA (395 nucleotides) under Cephaloleia orchideivora. RNAcentral's name for it is "SSU rRNA". It matches the Rfam family "Eukaryotic small subunit ribosomal RNA", at positions 602 to 955 of the family's 1831-position model. The record is from RNAcentral. Lineage: Eukaryota; Metazoa; Arthropoda; Insecta; Coleoptera; Chrysomelidae.
UAUUAAAGUUGUUGCGGUUAAAAAGCUCGUAGUCGAAUUUGUGUCCCGCGCCGCCGGUUCAUCGUACGCGGUGUUAACUGGCGUGCCGCGGGACGUCCUGCCGGUGGGCCUAAAUCCGCAAGGACGUCGGCCCGACCCAAUCCCGCCGCGGUGCUCUUGAUUGAGUGUCGAGGUGGGCCGGCACGUUUACUUUGAACAAAUUAGAGUGCUUAAAGCAGGCUAAAACUUCGCCUGAAUACUGUGUGCAUGGAAUAAUGGAAUAGGACCUCGGUUCUAUUUUGUUGGUUUUCGGAACCCCGAGGUAAUGAUUAAUAGGAACGGAUGGGGGCAUUCGUAUUGCGACGUUAGAGGUGAAAUUCUUGGAUCGUCGCAAGACGGACAGAAGCGAAAGCAUU